CUUGAAUAAGGACAGGAGUGGGGAGGGCAUCGGGUUCGUUUAAGUGGUACACACGACCCUAGGCUACAGGUCUUGCUAUGUCCUUCAGCCACUGAGGGUAAUCCUUCAUAAAGUGUUGGGUGCUUCCGCACUGAUAGUAGGCGUGAUUGAUACGCUGAUAAGGUAAUUUAUCAUGCUCGUGACCACAAUGCUGACAUGAUUAGGAAGGUUGGGUAGGCUAUCCAGUAGGUGGAGGUAAAGUAAGGAGAAGGACAACUUGGGUUCAUUUAUCGAGGUGACUACUUACUAGGUCGGGCAAUCUUUUGUUGUGUUGUUGGAGUUGUUGUUGUUGGGUACAGACUUAGGCAAUGCGUUGGUGCUUAGCCAAGAUGAGGUCUUUGGCCAAUUGGCCAUGUUUUAGCACCUUGGCAUACGAGCUGGGUCUCAGCAUUGCAACCCGAUCAUAGAUAUCAGUAUGAAGGCCUUUC
RNAcentral lists this long non-coding RNA (467 nucleotides) under Carica papaya (papaya). RNAcentral describes it as "long non-coding RNA (CPAP_LNC016441)". The record is from RNAcentral. Lineage: Eukaryota; Viridiplantae; Streptophyta; Magnoliopsida; Brassicales; Caricaceae.